CCUACGGGGAGGCUGCAGUGGGGAAUAUUGGACAAUGGGCGAAAGCCUGAUCCAGCCAUGCCGCGUGUGUGAAGAAGGCCUUCGGGUUGUAAAGCACUUUCAGUGGGGAAGAAAGCCUUGGGGCUAAUACCCUCGAGGAAGGACAUCACCCACAGAAGAAGCACCGGCUAACUCCGUGCCAGCAGCCGCGGUAAUACGGAGGGUGCGAGCGUUAAUCGGAAUUACUGGGCGUAAAGCGCGCGUAGGCGGUCUGAUAAGCCGGUUGUGAAAGCCCCGGGCUCAACCUGGGAACGGCAUCCGGAACUGUCAGGCUAGAGUGCAGGAGAGGAAGGUAGAAUUCCCGGUGUAGCGGUGAAAUGCGUAGAGAUCGGGAGGAAUACCAGUGGCGAAGGCGGCCUUCUGGACUGACACUGACGCUGAGGUGCGAAAGCGUGGGUAGCAAACAGGAUUAGAUACCCUUGUAGUC
Molecule: ribosomal RNA, 466 nt
Filed under: Vreelandella stevensii
Lineage: Bacteria; Pseudomonadati; Pseudomonadota; Gammaproteobacteria; Oceanospirillales; Halomonadaceae
Description: partial 16S ribosomal RNA
Rfam family: Bacterial small subunit ribosomal RNA
Source: RNAcentral